This 90-nucleotide non-coding RNA is filed under the name unclassified sequences. The record is from RNAcentral.
UAUGAGCUGCCACCGGGUAGCAAUGCGAUUUAAGCAUUCGUCGGCACAUCGUUAGGUCUUGGAAGAUGUGCUUGCGGGUGCUUUUUUUGU